AUUGAACGCUGGCGGCAUGCCUUACACAUGCCAGUCGAACGGCAGCAUGAUCUAGCUUGCUAGAUUGAUGGCGAGUGGCGAACGGGUGAGUAAUACAUCGGAACGUGCCCUGUAGUGGGGGAUAACUAGUCGAAAGAUUAGCUAAUACCGCAUACGACCUGAGGGUGAAAGUGGGGGACCGCAAGGCCUCAUGCUAUAGGAGCGGCCGAUGUCUGAUUAGCUAGUUGGUGAGGUAAAGGCUCACCAAGGCGACGAUCAGUAGCUGGUCUGAGAGGACGAUCAGCCACACUGGGACUGAGACACGGCCCAGACUCCUACGGGAGGCAGCAGUGGGGAAUUUUGGACAAUGGGCGAAAGCCUGAUCCAGCAAUGCCCGUGUGUGAAGAAGGCCUUCGGGUUGUAAAGCACUUUUGUCCGGAAAGAAAUGGCUCUGGUUAAUACCUGGGGUCGAUGACGGUACCGGAAGAAUAAGGACCGGCUAACUACGUG
This 489-nucleotide ribosomal RNA is filed under the name uncultured bacterium. Its description in RNAcentral is "partial 16S ribosomal RNA". It matches the Rfam family "Bacterial small subunit ribosomal RNA", at positions 30 to 507 of the family's 1533-position model. The record is from RNAcentral.